Myotis brandtii (Brandt's bat) is the source of this 76-nucleotide non-coding RNA. Lineage: Eukaryota; Metazoa; Chordata; Mammalia; Chiroptera; Vespertilionidae. The record is from Rfam.
GGCUGAUUCUUGAGUGACGUAUCCCGGAAUCGGGCUCCCUCCUCUCUGGUUCCAGGUCUGUCACCCAAGAACCGCA